Molecule: ribosomal RNA, 443 nt
Filed under: uncultured bacterium
Lineage: Bacteria
Description: partial 16S ribosomal RNA
Rfam family: Bacterial small subunit ribosomal RNA
Source: RNAcentral
CCUACGGGAGGCAGCAGUGGGGGAUAUUGGACAAUGGGGGGAACCCUGAUCCAGCGACGCCGCGUGAGUGAAGAAGUAUUUCGGUAUGUAAAGCUCUGUCAGCAGGGAAGAAAGAAAUGACGGUACCUGACCACGAAGCCCCGGCUAACUACGUGCCAGCAGCCGCGGUAAUACGUAGGGGGCAAGCGUUAUCCGGAAUUACUGGGUGUAAGGGGAGCGUAGACGGUUAAGUAAGUCUGGAGUGAAAGGCCGGGGCCCAACCCCGGGACUGCUCUGGAAACUAUUGAACUUGAGUGCAGGAGAGGUAAGCGGAAUUCCUAGUGUAGCGGUGAAAUGCGUAGAUAUUAGGAGGAACACCAGUGGCGAAGGCGGCUUACUGGACUGUAACUGACGUUGAGGCUCGAAAGCGUGGGGAGCAAACAGGAUUAGAUACCCUUGUAGUC